Molecule: long non-coding RNA, 656 nt
Organism: Lolium rigidum
Lineage: Eukaryota; Viridiplantae; Streptophyta; Magnoliopsida; Poales; Poaceae
Exons: 3
Source: RefSeq, a predicted model, not a curated record
CGCGACCUUCCAGUGUCAAUGGAGUAGCCGCUGCAGGUCGCCACAAAUCGAGAGCUUGCAGCCUCCACGGAGUCUCUGCUGCACCGGGAGCGCACCCCAAAAUCGUGACUUUGCGGCCUCCAGCAAGUCCGCUCAAGGAGCUCGCGCCAACAAUACGUUGGCUUCAGGGACUCGAGCUCAUGGGAGGAAGAGAAGGGGCACACACAGAGCGACUGCAGUGACCAGUCGAGCAAGAACUGAUGUUGCUUCAGGUCCUUUAUUGAAGCUCUCGCUGAGUUGUGUGCUUCGCAUUCCCAAUGUAAACACAUCCUUCAUGUAGCAUGUGUAUCCAAGAUUGGAAGUUCCGCCAACAACUUCUCCAGAAAAUACAUGUUCUGCCUUAGGUGCAAUGCCAGCGUGAUCUGCUGCGUCUAUGUCCAUGGCAUCCAAUGGACAAAUUUUCCGCUGAGAUGGGAUCAAGUGGAUCAUAUCCGGCCGAUAAAAGAUAUGAUUGUGCUCUGCCACAAAGUCAUGCACUUGAUAUUUGUUAGUUUCCCUGUUCAAAAUAAUUCUCAUCCGUGCAUUACAUCCUGUUCUUGUUUCAGCACGCGAAGACUUGUAUUGACCCUCGCGUUUAUCUCUUGAUCGAUGACCUUCUUUUCCACAUAAAAAUCUUG